CGUCUAUAUACGUAUAGCAUAUCAAUAAGCGGAGGAAACAGUACCUACGCUUAGGAUGUUGAAGUCAUCGUAUCGCGCGUGCUUGAUCUAUACAUGACUCUGUGCAUAUCAAUAAGCGGAGGAAAAGAGGGCUAUUACCUACGCUUAGGAUGUUGAAGUCAUCGUAUCGCGCGUGCUUGAUCUAUACAUGACUCUGCGCAUAUCAAUAAGCGGAGGAAAAGAAACUAACUAGGAUUCCCUCAGUAACGGCGAGUGAAGCGGGAAGAGCUCAAAUUUGAAAUCUUCGAAGGUUUUACCUUGACGAAUUGUAGUUUAAAGAAGUGUUUUCUGUUGGAGUUUUGGUAAAAGUUCUUUGGAAAAGGACAUCAUAGAGGGUGAGAAUCCCGUAUUUGACCAUUAUCUCCAGCUUUGUGAUACACUUUCAAAGAGUCGGAUUGUUUGGGAAUGCAGUCCAAAAUGGGUGGUAAAUUUCAUCUAAAGCUAAAUACUGGCGAGAGACCGAUAGCGAACAAGUACCGUGAGGGAAAGAUGAAAAGAACUUUGAAAAGAGAGUUAAACAGUACGUGAAAUUGUCAAAAGGGAAGCGUUUGACACCAGUGUUGUUUUCUCGAAAAUCAAUUAAAAAAGGCCGGAUUUUGUGUUGUAUUGACUUUAUCAGCUUUCUGCACUCUUUUCUUGUCUUUUUUAAUGCACUUUUCGUUUAACAAGUCAACAUCAAUUUCUUUUGUUGUAAAAGGGUCAUUGGAAGGUGGCUUUCUUUUCGGAGAAAGUGUUUAUAGCCUUUGGCCUCUGCAAUCGGAGAGAUUGAGGUCUGCAGCGUAGAUCCUUCGGGGUUAGAUACAUUUGUGCUAAGUUAUAGCCUUUCAUAGACAACUUGUUGACUAUGAUCAGUCAUGUAGCUUACUCGCUUAUGCUAUUUUACCUACGCUUAGGAUGUUGAAGUCAUCGUAUCGCGC
RNAcentral lists this ribosomal RNA (956 nucleotides) under uncultured Neocallimastigales. Its description in RNAcentral is "partial large subunit ribosomal RNA". The stretch from base 172 to 956 matches the Rfam family "Eukaryotic large subunit ribosomal RNA", at positions 1 to 645 of the family's 3401-position model. The record is from RNAcentral. Lineage: Eukaryota; Fungi; Neocallimastigomycota; Neocallimastigomycetes; Neocallimastigales.